Long non-coding RNA from Hemiscyllium ocellatum (epaulette shark), 402 nucleotides. RefSeq lists it as uncharacterized. Lineage: Eukaryota; Metazoa; Chordata; Chondrichthyes; Orectolobiformes; Hemiscylliidae. The record is from RefSeq and is a predicted model, not a curated record. The transcript has 3 exons.
UGUUGGUGCUAUAGCAUGAAGAUUUGAUAGCUCUUUGCCUAACCUCCUAAGAACAGCUCUUGGAAACUCAGAGAAAAGAAAGCUAAGUUAUUAAUAAUGUACAAGGAAACUGGUUGAGAAUGGGAUCAGAAGCAAAGGCAGGGGUUGAGAAAGCAACAGUGGAAUCAAGGCUUGAAAAUUAUUGCAGCCUCUCUGAGACAUCUGAAUGGAAUGUUUGGGAAGAUAAAUGACAACACUGGUCAGAGACCUAUGACAGUUAUGGGAAGACGCAACACUACAGGCAAUAACUGCUACAUCUGAGUUCGCAAACCCAAAAUGGGAUCCCAUCCUUCUCCUCUUACGAAGACAGUUGUAGACUUUUUGCCUGAAUCAAGACUCAGGAAAGGGUUACCCUGCUUAGUG